This 253-nucleotide ribosomal RNA is filed under the name uncultured bacterium. RNAcentral describes it as "partial 16S ribosomal RNA". It matches the Rfam family "Bacterial small subunit ribosomal RNA", at positions 524 to 776 of the family's 1533-position model. The record is from RNAcentral.
UACGUAGGGUGCAAGCGUUGUCCGGAAUUAUUGGGCGUAAAGAGCUCGUAGGCGGCUUGUUGCGUCGACUGUGAAAAACCACGACUCAACCGUGGGACUGCAGUCGAUACGGGCAGGCUAGAGUUCGGUAGGGGAGACUGGAAUUCCUGGUGUAGCGGUGAAAUGCGCAGAUAUCAGGAGGAACACCGGUGGCGAAGGCGGGUCUCUGGGCCGAUACUGACGCUGAGGAGCGAAAGCGUGGGGAGCGAACAGG